CACCUUACUCUAAUUGGUGAGUAAGAAGGACCAUUGGGGUCAACUGG
Molecule: non-coding RNA, 47 nt
Filed under: unclassified sequences
Description: gut-2 RNA
Rfam family: gut-2 RNA
About the family: gut metagenomes.
Source: Rfam by way of RNAcentral